Molecule: transfer RNA, 67 nt
Filed under: Ictidomys tridecemlineatus (thirteen-lined ground squirrel)
Lineage: Eukaryota; Metazoa; Chordata; Mammalia; Rodentia; Sciuridae
Description: Spermophilus tridecemlineatus (thirteen-lined ground squirrel) tRNA
Rfam family: tRNA
About the family: Transfer RNA (tRNA) molecules are approximately 80 nucleotides in length.
Source: Rfam by way of RNAcentral
GGUUGUGGCGCAGUGGUAGAGUGCUUGCCUAGCAUGCAGGAUGCACUGGGUUCAAUCCCCAGAACCA